This 364-nucleotide ribosomal RNA is filed under the name uncultured eukaryote. RNAcentral's name for it is "bacterial SSU rRNA". It matches the Rfam family "Eukaryotic small subunit ribosomal RNA", at positions 592 to 963 of the family's 1831-position model. The record is from RNAcentral.
CAAUAGCGUAUACUAAAGUUGUUGCAGUUAAAAAGCUCGUAGUCGGAUUUCAGUUUGUUUACAUUUAACCUUUUUGGUUUUUAUGUGAAUUUACUUUAUGCAAGAAACUUUCAUAUUAUUUUAUUUGAUAUGUUUUGGGACUUUGCUCAUUUACUUUGAGAAAAUUAGAGUGUUUCAAAAGCAGGUAUUUGUCCUGAAUAUUACUCUUGGAAUAAUAAUAUAGGACUUCAGUUCUAGUUUGUUGGUGAUCUGGAACCGGAGUAAUGAUUUGAUAGGGACAGUUGGGGUCAUUCAUACUGCAAAGGCGAGAGGUGGAAUUCUUGGACCUUUGUAUGAUGAACAACUGCGAAAGCAUUUGACUAGG